Otolemur garnettii (small-eared galago) is the source of this 312-nucleotide unclassified non-coding RNA. Its record names the gene 7SK. It matches the Rfam family "7SK RNA". From Rfam's summary of the family: 7SK was discovered as an abundant small nuclear RNA in the mid-70s but a possible function has only recently been suggested. Two independent studies have found that 7SK RNA binds the CDK9/cyclin T complex (known as elongation factor P-TEFb). P-TEFb activates transcription by phosphorylating the C-terminal domain of RNA polymerase II. The record is from Ensembl. NCBI's taxonomy places the organism in Eukaryota, Metazoa, Chordata, Mammalia, Primates, Galagidae.
GUAUAUGGAGGUGAUUUGGGAGCGACAUCUGUCACCCUAUUGAUUGCCAGAGUUGAUUUGGCUGAUCUACUUGGGGAGGCAGGUGUCUCCCUCCUCCCUCACUACUCCACAUGUUGUCCUUCCCCAAAUUGCAGGCUUGGCCCAAGAGGACCACUUCUCCCAUGGAAAAAGACCAUUCUUCUGUCAAGAUCAUAUGACUAUCUAUGCCUACUUACUAAAACCUCCAAAUAAGCUCUCAAGGUCCACUGGUAGGAGAACGUAGAGUAGUCAAGCUUCCAAUGAGGUACUGCGUGUGGUAUUCUGCCUCUCUUU